CCACACAGCGCCCUGCAAACCUGCUGAGUGCUUUCACAUGGUCCCAUGUGAGACCCACGGCCGAUGCCAAACACUCCUGUCCGAAACUGUUUUCAGAGUCAGCUUCAUCUCUAAGCCCCUCCUCGCCCCAGGGUCAAGAGCAUCAAUCAAGAGGGUGGUGGUGGUGGGGUGACAGGAAAGAAUAAAAAGCUCAGCAGCUCAACACAGAGAAGCACCUCCCCUCCCACGGUGAAGGUGUAAAGCAGAAGGCUGGCCAAGGACCAAGCUUCAAGAAAAUGUGAAACUCUGCACGAGGAUGCUAGCACGUACGAUUCCUGGCUUCUUGGGAAAUCUCACGCACAAAACUGCCUUUCUCCUCUGCACUGACCGAAUCCACAGUGAGACACCGUGAGGGACAAACUCAGGGAUCGAACUUGGGUCCUUGCACUUGCGCAGCAGGCGGCGAAACCACUAAGCUAAAUCCCCGGC
This 468-nucleotide long non-coding RNA is filed under the name Heterocephalus glaber (naked mole-rat). RNAcentral's name for it is "lncRNA (ENSHGLG00000046849.1)". The record is from RNAcentral. Lineage: Eukaryota; Metazoa; Chordata; Mammalia; Rodentia; Bathyergidae.